This 264-nucleotide ribosomal RNA is filed under the name uncultured bacterium. Its description in RNAcentral is "partial 16S ribosomal RNA". It matches the Rfam family "Bacterial small subunit ribosomal RNA", at positions 793 to 1055 of the family's 1533-position model. The record is from RNAcentral.
GUCCACGCCCUAAACGAUGUCAACUAGUUGUUCGGUGAGGAGACUCAUUGAGUAACGCAGCUAACGCGUGAAGUUGACCGCCUGGGGAGUACGGCCGCAAGGUUAAACUCAAAGGAAUUGACGGGGACCCGCACAAGCGGUGGAUGAUGUGGAUUAAUUCGAUGUAACGCGAAAACCUUACCUACCCUUGACAUGUCAGGAAUCCUUGAGAGAUUGAGGAGUGCCCGAAAGGGAGCCUGAACACAGGUGCUGCAUGGCUGUCGU